RNAcentral lists this ribosomal RNA (253 nucleotides) under uncultured Eubacteriales bacterium. RNAcentral's name for it is "uncultured Clostridiales bacterium partial 16S ribosomal RNA". It matches the Rfam family "Bacterial small subunit ribosomal RNA", at positions 524 to 776 of the family's 1533-position model. The record is from RNAcentral. Lineage: Bacteria; Bacillati; Bacillota; Clostridia; Eubacteriales.
UACGUAGGGGGCAAGCGUUAUCCGGAUUUACUGGGUGUAAAGGGAGCGUAGACGGCCGUGCAAGCCAGGAGUGAAAGCCCGGGGCCCAACCCCGGGACUGCUCUUGGAACUGUGCAGCUGGAGUGCAGGAGAGGUAAGCGGAAUUCCUAGUGUAGCGGUGAAAUGCGUAGAUAUUAGGAGGAACACCAGUGGCGAAGGCGGCUUACUGGACUGUAACUGACGUUGAGGCUCGAAAGCGUGGGGAGCAAACAGG